AGAUGGGGAAUCUACCUGAUUUGAGGUCAAAGUUAUGAAAUAAAUUGUGGUGGCCACUAGCAAAAUAAGCGUUUUUGGAUAAACCUAAGUCGCUUAAAAUAAGUUUCCACGUUAAAUUCUUUCAAACAAACCUAGCGUAUUGCUCAACACCAAACCCGGGGGUUUGAGGGAGAAAUGACGCUCAAACAGGCAUGCCCUUUGGAAUACCAAAGGGCGCAAUGUGCGUUCAAAGAUUCGAUGAUUCACGAAUAUCUGCAAUUCAUAUUACGUAUCGCAUUUCGCUGCGUUCUUCAUCGAUGCGAGAACCAAGAGAUCCGUUGUUGAAAGUUUUGACUAUUGUAAUAAUAAAUCAAGUUUGACUGUAAAUAAAGUUUGGUUUAGUUAUAACCUCUGGCGGUAGGAUUGCUCCCGCCACCAAAGAAAUUUGUUCAAUAAAAAACACAUGUGGUGCAAUUAAGCAAAUCAGUAAUGAUCCUUCCGCAGGUUCACCCUACG
RNAcentral lists this unclassified non-coding RNA (495 nucleotides) under Candida tropicalis. RNAcentral describes it as "sequence contains ITS1, 5.8S rRNA gene, ITS2". The record is from RNAcentral. Lineage: Eukaryota; Fungi; Ascomycota; Pichiomycetes; Serinales; Debaryomycetaceae.